AUAUCUCUCUGUACGGGAAGGAUGAGAAGCUUCGACUAAGGUUCGAUUCGAGCGCAGCGAGAAAGCGUUGCCGCAGGCAA
RNAcentral lists this small RNA (80 nucleotides) under Salmonella enterica. RNAcentral's name for it is "partial RtT sRNA". It matches the Rfam family "RtT RNA", at positions 1 to 79 of the family's 130-position model. Rfam says of the family: This family represents a bacterial cis-regulatory element known as RtT RNA. Lineage: Bacteria; Pseudomonadati; Pseudomonadota; Gammaproteobacteria; Enterobacterales; Enterobacteriaceae. RNAcentral also lists the same sequence under 1 other name. The record is from RNAcentral.